AGAAUCAUCCAUAAAAAGCUUCUAACUUUUUCAAAAGCAUUAACAUGUUUAUGAUUCUC
Molecule: transfer RNA, 59 nt
Filed under: Cautires sp. UPOL LB0059
Lineage: Eukaryota; Metazoa; Arthropoda; Insecta; Coleoptera; Lycidae
Also listed under: 2 other names
Description: tRNA-Ser
Source: RNAcentral